RNAcentral lists this ribosomal RNA (305 nucleotides) under uncultured bacterium. Its description in RNAcentral is "bacterial SSU rRNA". It matches the Rfam family "Bacterial small subunit ribosomal RNA", at positions 335 to 658 of the family's 1533-position model. The record is from RNAcentral.
UGCCUACGGGGGGCAGCAGUAGGGAAUAUUGCUCAAUGGGGGAAACCCUGAAGCAGCAACGCCGCGUGGAGGAUGAAGGUUUUCGGAUUGUAAACUCCUUUUGUUAGAGAAGAUAAUGACGGUAUCUAACGAAUAAGCACCGGCUAACUACGUGCCAGCAGCCGCGGUAAUACGGAGGGUGCAAGCGUUACUCGGAAUCACUGGGCGUAAAGAGCGCGUAGGCGGGAUAGCAAGUCAGAUGUGAAAUCCUAUGGCUUAACCGAAGAACUGCAAUUAAAACUGAUAUUCUAGAGUACUGGAGAGGG